CAGGGAAUCUUCGGCAAUGGACGAAAGUCUGACCGAGCAACGCCGCGUGAGUGAAGAAGGUUUUCGGAUCGUAAAACUCUGUUGUUAGAGAAGAACAAGGACGUUAGUAACUGAACGUCCCCUGACGGUAUCUAACCAGAAAGCCACGGCUAACUACGUGCCAGCAGCCGCGGUAAUACGUAGGUGGCAAGCGUUGUCCGGAUUUAUUGGGCGUAAAGCGAGCGCAGGCGGUUUCUUAAGUCUGAGGUGAAAGCCCCCGGCUCAACCGAAGAGGGUUAUUGGAAACUGGGAGACUUGAGUGCAGAAGAGGGGGGUGGAAUUCCAUGUGUAGCGGUGAAAUGCGUAGAUAUAUGGAGGAACACCAGUGGCGAAGGCGGCUCUGUGGUCUGUAGCUGACGAUGAGGCACGAAAGGGUGGGGAGCAAACAGG
Molecule: ribosomal RNA, 429 nt
Filed under: Gemmatimonadota bacterium
Lineage: Bacteria; Pseudomonadati; Gemmatimonadota
Description: Gemmatimonadetes bacterium partial 16S ribosomal RNA
Rfam family: Bacterial small subunit ribosomal RNA
Source: RNAcentral